UUGUUUAUAAAUCAAAUCUCCGUCACAAUUUUCAAAACCCCACUAAGCUAUAAUCCACCACCACUUUAGCAACAUGGUGGUUGUUCCUACUUCCUAAAUCAAUAUCCAUCACAAAUAUCCACAAGAACCCCACGUUAUAACCACACACAUCAAAUCUCUAUCACAAAUUUUCAAUUUCUUUUAGGCUACAAAUUAUUUUUGCAAAAAAGAAAAUAAAAAAUUAAUCGUCGGUAACCCUUACUGUUUCAACUCAACGACGACUGAGAGCGGUGACUUCAAUCAGAUUCACGUCGCUGAAAAGAAGAUUUGAAACAAGUCGUCGGAGAGUAGAUCUAAAACCUGAGACUUUUCGUUUUUGUCGGCUACGAACCUGCGACUUCAAUAGGAUUCGCUGGAAAGCAGAUCUGAAACACACGGACGACAACAUAACCCCUACACAGUGUUUUGGUGACAGUGGUGACAGUGGUGACAUGUGUGGUGGUGGUUGGCGGUGGCGGCAAAUAAUUGGUGAGAGUGGUCAAGUGUAACACUCAAAAACUUAAUUAUGUACACUUUUAUUUAAAUGUGUUUAUGUCAUAUAAAAAGAAAUUUGAGUAUGAAUAUUGUUAAAAAUACUAUAUAUGGUAACUAGGAGAAUGAACCUAGUUAGAAUGCAAGCUAGAACUUUAAAUUAAGAAUAGUUUUCCGUCAUUAUAAAUAAAUGAUUAAACUUAAAGGGCCAAACUUGUA
This 729-nucleotide long non-coding RNA is filed under the name Helianthus annuus (common sunflower). Its description in RNAcentral is "hypothetical non coding rna". Lineage: Eukaryota; Viridiplantae; Streptophyta; Magnoliopsida; Asterales; Asteraceae. The record is from RNAcentral.